AUAGCCUCUUGAAUAACCGGAUGCAGGAUGAAACAGCCAUCUGCAUACGGUUCAGACGGAGGCGCAAAGCGACAUGAAUCCUUUUGAGGGAAAGGAGCUCAUUUCUCUCGGUAGUUCCUUUCUUAGAUGGCUUCUGAUAUAU
This is a non-coding RNA of Musa acuminata subsp. malaccensis (wild Malaysian banana), 142 nucleotides long. Lineage: Eukaryota; Viridiplantae; Streptophyta; Magnoliopsida; Zingiberales; Musaceae. The record is from Rfam.